RNAcentral lists this ribosomal RNA (253 nucleotides) under uncultured prokaryote. RNAcentral's name for it is "partial 16S ribosomal RNA". It matches the Rfam family "Bacterial small subunit ribosomal RNA", at positions 525 to 777 of the family's 1533-position model. The record is from RNAcentral.
ACGAAGGGGGCUAGCGUUGUUCGGAAUUACUGGGCGUAAAGCGCACGUAGGCGGAUUGUUAAGUCGGGGGUGAAAUCCUGAGGCUCAACCUCAGAACUGCCUUCGAUACUGGCGAUCUUGAGUUCGGAAGAGGUUGGUGGAACAGCUAGUGUAGAGGUGAAAUUCGUAGAUAUUAGCUAGAACACCAGUGGCGAAGGCGGCCAACUGGUCCGAUACUGACGCUGAGGUGCGAAAGCGUGGGGAGCAAACAGGA